GUGGGGAAUAUUGCACAAUGGGGGAAACCCUGAUGCAGCGACGCCGCGUGAAGGAAGACGUAUUUCGGUAUGUAAACUUCUAUCAGCAGGGAAGAAAACAGACGGUACCUGACUAAGAAGCCCCGGCUAACUACGUGCCAGCAGCCGCGGUAAUACGUAGGGGGCAAGCGUUAUCCGGAUUUACUGGGUGUAAAGGGGGCGCAGACGGCCAUGGCAAGCCCGGUGUGAAAGGCAGGGGCAUAACCCCUGGACUGCACUGGGAACUGUCAGGCUGGAGUGCCGGAGGGGUAAGCGGAAUUCCUGGUGUAGCGGUGAAAUGCGUAGAUAUCAGGAGGAACACCGGCGGCGAAGGCGGCUUACUGGACGGCAACUGACGUUGAGGCCCGAAAGCGUGGGGAGCGAACAGGA
RNAcentral lists this ribosomal RNA (408 nucleotides) under uncultured bacterium. RNAcentral's name for it is "bacterial SSU rRNA". It matches the Rfam family "Bacterial small subunit ribosomal RNA", at positions 354 to 777 of the family's 1533-position model. The record is from RNAcentral.